Molecule: ribosomal RNA, 253 nt
Filed under: uncultured bacterium
Lineage: Bacteria
Description: partial 16S ribosomal RNA
Rfam family: Bacterial small subunit ribosomal RNA
Source: RNAcentral
UACAGAGGGUGCAAGCGUUGUUCGGAAUUACUGGGCGUAAAGCGCGUGUAGGCGGCGGUAAAAGUCGAAUGUGAAAGCCCUCAGCUUAACUGAGGAAGUGCAUUCGAUACUAUACUGCUUGAGUACCGGAGGGGAUGGCGGAAUUCCCGGUGUAGAGGUGAAAUUCGUAGAUAUCGGGAGGAACACCAGUGGCGAAGGCGGCUCUCUGGACAGAUACUGACACUGAGGCGCGAAAGCGUGGGAAGCAAACAGG